GACGAACGCUGGCGGCGUGCCUAAUACAUGCAAGUAGAACGCUGAAGGAGGAGCUUGCUUCUCUGGAUGAGUUGCGAACGGGUGAGUAACGCGUAGGUAACCUGCCUGGUAGCGGGGGAUAACUAUUGGAAACGAUAGCUAAUACCGCAUAAGAGUAGAUGUUGCAUGACAUUUGCUUAAAAGGUGCAAUUGCAUCACUACCAGAUGGACCUGCGUUGUAUUAGCUAGUUGGUGGGGUAACGGCUUACCAAGGCGACGAUACAUAGCCGACCUGAGAGGGUGAUCGGCCAUACUGGGACUGAGACACGGCCCAGACUCCUACGGGAGGCAGCAGUAGGGAAUCUUCGGCAAUGGACGGAAGUCUGACCGAGCAACGCCGCGUGAGUGAAGAAGGUUUUCGGAUCGUAAAGCUCUGUUGUAAGAGAAGAACGAGUGUGAGAGUGGAAAGUUCACACUGUGACGGUAUCUUACCAGAAAGGGACGGCUAACUACGUG
RNAcentral lists this ribosomal RNA (495 nucleotides) under uncultured bacterium. RNAcentral describes it as "partial 16S ribosomal RNA". It matches the Rfam family "Bacterial small subunit ribosomal RNA", at positions 28 to 507 of the family's 1533-position model. The record is from RNAcentral.